RNAcentral lists this transfer RNA (73 nucleotides) under Phycisphaera mikurensis. RNAcentral describes it as "tRNA-Ala". It matches the Rfam family "tRNA". From Rfam's summary of the family: Transfer RNA (tRNA) molecules are approximately 80 nucleotides in length. Their secondary structure includes four short double-helical elements and three loops (D, anti-codon, and T loops). Lineage: Bacteria; Pseudomonadati; Planctomycetota; Phycisphaerae; Phycisphaerales; Phycisphaeraceae. RNAcentral also lists the same sequence under 1 other name. The record is from RNAcentral.
GGGGCCUUAGCUCAGCUGGGAGAGCGCUUGUAUGGCAUACAAGAGGUCAGGAGUUCGAUCCUCCUAGGCUCCA